This 76-nucleotide transfer RNA is filed under the name Pseudomonadota bacterium. RNAcentral's name for it is "tRNA-Arg". It matches the Rfam family "tRNA". From Rfam's summary of the family: Transfer RNA (tRNA) molecules are approximately 80 nucleotides in length. Their secondary structure includes four short double-helical elements and three loops (D, anti-codon, and T loops). Further hydrogen bonds mediate the characteristic L-shaped molecular structure. tRNAs have two regions of fundamental functional importance: the anti-codon, which is responsible for specific mRNA codon recognition, and the 3' end, to which the tRNAs corresponding amino acid is attached (by aminoacyl-tRNA synthetases). tRNAs cope with the degeneracy of the genetic code in two manners: having more than one tRNA (with a specific anti-codon) for a particular amino acid; and 'wobble' base-pairing, i.e. permitting non-standard base-pairing at the 3rd anti-codon position. RNAcentral also lists the same sequence under 1 other name. The record is from RNAcentral. Lineage: Bacteria; Pseudomonadati; Pseudomonadota.
GCGCCCGUGGCCCAGGGGAUAGGGCGUCGGCCUCCGGAGCCGGACAUCGUAGGUUCGAAUCCUACCGGGCGCGCCA